This 1376-nucleotide ribosomal RNA is filed under the name Escherichia coli. Its description in RNAcentral is "partial 23S ribosomal RNA". It matches the Rfam family "Bacterial large subunit ribosomal RNA", at positions 1573 to 2925 of the family's 2925-position model. The record is from RNAcentral. Lineage: Bacteria; Pseudomonadati; Pseudomonadota; Gammaproteobacteria; Enterobacterales; Enterobacteriaceae.
GGCACUACGGUGCUGAAGCAACAAAUGCCCUGCUUCCAGGAAAAGCCUCUAAGCAUCAGGUAACAUCAAAUCGUACCCCAAACCGACACAGGUGGUCAGGUAGAGAAUACCAAGGCGCUUGAGAGAACUCGGGUGAAGGAACUAGGCAAAAUGGUGCCGUAACUUCGGGAGAAGGCACGCUGAUAUGUAGGUGAAGUCCCUCGCGGAUGGAGCUGAAAUCAGUCGAAGAUACCAGCUGGCUGCAACUGUUUAUUAAAAACACAGCACUGUGCAAACACGAAAGUGGACGUAUACGGUGUGACGCCUGCCCGGUGCCGGAAGGUUAAUUGAUGGGGUUAGCGCAAGCGAAGCUCUUGAUCGAAGCCCCGGUAAACGGCGGCCGUAACUAUAACGGUCCUAAGGUAGCGAAAUUCCUUGUCGGGUAAGUUCCGACCUGCACGAAUGGCGUAAUGAUGGCCAGGCUGUCUCCACCCGAGACUCAGUGAAAUUGAACUCGCUGUGAAGAUGCAGUGUACCCGCGGCAAGACGGAAAGACCCCGUGAACCUUUACUAUAGCUUGACACUGAACAUUGAGCCUUGAUGUGUAGGAUAGGUGGGAGGCUUUGAAGUGUGGACGCCAGUCUGCAUGGAGCCGACCUUGAAAUACCACCCUUUAAUGUUUGAUGUUCUAACGUUGACCCGUAAUCCGGGUUGCGGACAGUGUCUGGUGGGUAGUUUGACUGGGGCGGUCUCCUCCUAAAGAGUAACGGAGGAGCACGAAGGUUGGCUAAUCCUGGUCGGACAUCAGGAGGUUAGUGCAAUGGCAUAAGCCAGCUUGACUGCGAGCGUGACGGCGCGAGCAGGUGCGAAAGCAGGUCAUAGUGAUCCGGUGGUUCUGAAUGGAAGGGCCAUCGCUCAACGGAUAAAAGGUACUCCGGGGAUAACAGGCUGAUACCGCCCAAGAGUUCAUAUCGACGGCGGUGUUUGGCACCUCGAUGUCGGCUCAUCACAUCCUGGGGCUGAAGUAGGUCCCAAGGGUAUGGCUGUUCGCCAUUUAAAGUGGUACGCGAGCUGGGUUUAGAACGUCGUGAGACAGUUCGGUCCCUAUCUGCCGUGGGCGCUGGAGAACUGAGGGGGGCUGCUCCUAGUACGAGAGGACCGGAGUGGACGCAUCACUGGUGUUCGGGUUGUCAUGCCAAUGGCACUGCCCGGUAGCUAAAUGCGGAAGAGAUAAGUGCUGAAAGCAUCUAAGCACGAAACUUGCCCCGAGAUGAGUUCUCCCUGACUCCUUGAGAGUCCUGAAGGAACGUUGAAGACGACGACGUUGAUAGGCCGGGUGUGUAAGCGCAGCGAUGCGUUGAGCUAACCGGUACUAAUGAACCGUGAGGCUUAACCUU